UAGCUGUCAUGGCCUAAUUGGAAGACUGUCUGCUCAACACCCGCAGCCAACCCAUGAAUUCUGCUUAGUCAGAAAGGACGAGACGGUGCCUGGUUCGAAUCCCGGAGUCGCGACCCGGGCGUGGUUUUAUUUAAUGGACCGCGUCUUUUCUGGUUCUCCCACACUCGUGCGAGCAAUCCACGAACGGCUGUGGCGCGCUAGGCAAUGGAGGCGACGCUUGAGGGAAGCAAUUCUGCAGAGACACCUCCACUCCGGGAUGGCGGCACCAGAUCACAUCGGCUGUUCACUGUGGGUUGGCCGUGGAUUCUGGACGGUCAACUUUUUUU
Molecule: non-coding RNA, 326 nt
Organism: Coccidioides posadasii str. Silveira
Lineage: Eukaryota; Fungi; Ascomycota; Eurotiomycetes; Onygenales; Onygenaceae
Rfam family: Fungal signal recognition particle RNA
Source: Rfam